Molecule: long non-coding RNA, 1442 nt
Organism: Canis lupus familiaris (dog)
Lineage: Eukaryota; Metazoa; Chordata; Mammalia; Carnivora; Canidae
Exons: 3
Source: RefSeq, a predicted model, not a curated record
UCCAAGGCCAAUACAUGCACCGCUUCGCAGAUCUCUCUGACUCUUUAAGCUGUCACCUCACACCGCUUCACCAGUGACCAAGAUGACACUAAUAAUUGUUUCAUAUGAAGCAACAUGACAUGAACAACCCUGCCUCCUUUAAAGCCUAAAGAGGCUAAUCUUGUCUUGCUGUCAUCACCGUUGUUGACUCUCUGACAUCUAUUUGCCUCAGAAAAUCAGCAUCAACCAGUUGGCUUGUUAACAGGCAUCUAACUUUAUCUAACCAAUGAGAAGUGAGUGACCAUCACACUGAGGUAUUCCUCUUCUUCUAGAUGUUGUCAAGGACGCCUGGAGAUAAAAGUAACAGAAUUGCGCAGAACCCAAAGGUCACAGAGAAGCAAAGAAAGUGCUGAGGAAUUGCGAUAACGCACCUGGAGCCCAUUCUGGCUCCGCACUUCUCAUCGUGUAAUGCAUUUACUAUUGUUUCAGCCAGUUUGAAUAAGAGUUUGUCGUUGCUUGAAGGGAAAGGAGAAUCAAUCAAAGACAGCAGAAAGAAUUUAAAGGAGGGUUUUGUUUAUCCCAGUACUUCAAAAGAGAAACCUGAAGAAAACAUUUCAAAGGCAUCCUAGCCAGGAACUCCACCUUUGUCCAGAAGGCUGAGGGCCUCUGUGUUGGUCCUUAUCAAAAUAUACUAUCCUUGUUGACAAAAUCCCCAGGAGGCUGGAUCCUGAAUUAUGUCCUCACUGGGCCCCUACACACCCAACUGAAAAAGGGAAGAGGAAGGAACAUUCAUAAUGGCUCUCUGGAUUUGGGAUUUCUUCUCUUUCUUUGUUAAAGCAUCAGAACACUUUAUCAAAAGAAGUCGUGCCAGGAAGUUCAAAAGUAAAACAAAUAAAAGGACAUAUGUGGAGGUGCUUUCCACUUUGCAGAUGGUAGUGAGAGGGAGGGGCCAGGAAGCUGACUUUGUGCUUGUUCCUACUGUCUGAGUUGUCUCUUCAAAAUAAUCACUCUCAUUAUUUUAAUUUAGAUCGUACAGGAAAGCUUUCCCACAUUUUGCUACGUCUUACAUCAAAUCUAAUCACAAUGUCCAGGUUAGUUCUGAUUUUAUGCGAGAGUGUGACAGAUUGGUGCCCUGGUGCGGCGGGUACAAGUGGAACAAAAUUACAGUUAUAUUUUUUGGAUGAAAACUAUAUAUGAACACAUGGUGCUUAAAAUGACAAAAAAAAAAAAAAAAAAAGUGGAAGAAAGGGUUCUUUCCCACUAACCCAGCACGGUGACCACGCAAUUACAAUAUGAUGUCAAAACAAGAGCAGUAAGUCCAGAGCACUGAGCUGAUGCAAAUGAAGGCAAUUCAGCACAAGGGCAUUUUCUAAGAAAGGCUUUGGGGGAGACAAGGGAGUACUCCUGGUCCAGGCUUGAAAUUGUCAGAAUAGAACGGAGCUCUUACAAAGAUCUGCGAUAUU